AAAAAUCUUAGUUAUUACCAAGGUGCUCCGAAGUGUUGACUUAAAUGGGUCAGCAUCCUGCCUUGUGACGGGAGGCUAUGUUGACCCGAGUCAUGUUCGAAAUGGUGUGAGGCUGGGUGGGUCAAGUCAUGUUCGAAGUAGCGUGAGGCUGGUUGGGCCGAGUCACAAUUGAGACCCGUGGGCGUGUAUCUAUACGCUUUAAGUGAAUUGGUUGCGUAUUUCUAAUAGCUCGAGCUUUUAGGAUUAAUGGUUAGCACCAACGAUCCGACACGGAGGGAAAAAAAUAAUUCUGCCUUGUGGAGAGAGAUUAGGUUGGACUGAGUCAUAUCUGAAAUAGUGGGGGGUGAAGUUGGACUGAGUUAUGUUCGAAAUAGCGGGAGGCUGGUUAGGUCGAAUAACAAUAGAGACCCGCUAUGUCUGUAUGCUUUAAUUGAACUGGUUGCAUCUUUCUAACUCCUCAACUUUUUGGGAGUAAUGAUUUAACAUUGACGAUUCAACCAGUGCUAUC
RNAcentral lists this long non-coding RNA (508 nucleotides) under Ananas comosus (pineapple). RNAcentral's name for it is "long non-coding RNA (ACOM_LNC022468)". Lineage: Eukaryota; Viridiplantae; Streptophyta; Magnoliopsida; Poales; Bromeliaceae. The record is from RNAcentral.